This 240-nucleotide ribosomal RNA is filed under the name uncultured bacterium. Its description in RNAcentral is "partial 16S ribosomal RNA". It matches the Rfam family "Bacterial small subunit ribosomal RNA", at positions 94 to 334 of the family's 1533-position model. The record is from RNAcentral.
AGUGGCGGACGGGUGAGUAACGCGUGGGUAACCUGCCUCAUACAGGGGGAUAACAGUUGGAAACGGCUGCUAAUACCGCAUAAGCGCACAGUACCGCAUGGUACGGUGUGAAAAACUCCGGUGGUAUGAGAUGGACCCGCGUCUGAUUAGCUAGUUGGUGGGGUAACGGCCUACCAAGGCGACGAUCAGUAGCCGACCUGAGAGGGUGACCGGCCACAUUGGGACUGAGACACGGCCCAA